CCUGCGCUUCCGGAGCGGUUCUAGGAGGGGUCGGCUCCGGCCUCGCCCCGAGGGCCCCCACUCCGUAGCUGUGCUGCCCGGUCCGCCCCGGCCCUCGGCUCCGCCCCUCCCUCUGGCACCCACACAUCCAUCCCCGCGGCGCCUCUACUCACCCAGCGCCGCGCUCCGAGGAAUCCGCCAUUUUCCCGCCUUCCACUCAAAGGCGGCUUUUCACGGCCGGCCCCGCCCCCUCGCGGCGGGUCGGACCAAUUGCAAGCUGUAGGAGGGGCGACCACGCGCGCGCUUUUCCCCUCCUCCCCUCGCACUUGGUCUCGCCCACGAGCGGUGGGAGCUGGUGGUGGGGCCGAAUCUCUAGGAAGGGGCGUGGCGUUCAUGGCGCUCCGCCCCGUGACGCGCUCGCCGUUACUCCCGGCCCCUCCUCUCCGGAACCCGGAAGCCAGAGCGCGCGGGGCGGAGCGGCCGGAGGCCCGGGGGGCAAGCUUGCUGACGGGCGUCCGGGCGGGGACCGGCCCGCGACCGGCGGCGCGCGGCGGCCGAGGCCCAGGUCCUCCCCUUCCCCAGAAUGCCGCUGAUAACAACUAAAAGUCCCGCAACUUGGAAACCAACCAAUCAGAAGCCAGUCCCGUACUUGGAAACCAACCAGUCAGAAGCCAGUCCCGCGACUUGGAAACCAACCAAUCAGAAGCCAGUCCCGCGACUUGGAAACCAAC
Molecule: long non-coding RNA, 710 nt
Organism: Lemur catta (Ring-tailed lemur)
Lineage: Eukaryota; Metazoa; Chordata; Mammalia; Primates; Lemuridae
Exons: 2
Source: RefSeq, a predicted model, not a curated record